GUAGCUCCAUGGCCGGAGAAUAAAGGAAAGGCGUUUUCAGCCAUGCCAGUGUGCACUGUAAAUAAGAAUGUGGCUGGAUGGCUGUUUCCAUGAGGCUGGGAAAGAUGACUACAAGUAGUUCCGGUUUGCCAGCAGUUACAGCCACUCAUUCCGGGAACAGUGCUUCUUCGUGUGUGGAAGGGGAGAAACCACAUCGCCGAUGGCAAUGCCACUUCCGGUGUUGGAGGUAUCACACAGCACACCUGCAUAUGGCUUCAUCUGUGGCUGUCACACUCACGGGUCUCACUCUGUCACCCAGGCUGGAGUGGAGAGGCACUAUCAUAACUCACAGAAGCCUCGAACUCCUGAGCUCAAGCAGUACUCUGGC
Molecule: long non-coding RNA, 367 nt
Filed under: Homo sapiens (human)
Lineage: Eukaryota; Metazoa; Chordata; Mammalia; Primates; Hominidae
Description: HSALNT0348708
Source: RNAcentral